AAAACUGCCUAAAAACCACUUUCUGGGCAGUUUUGAGCACCUACACUAAUUUGGACGAAAAUUGAUAAAAACUUGAAUCAAAAUACUUAGAAACACAAAUCAAAACACUUUCUAACUAAUCUAAGACUUCAAAUUAAAGGGGGAUUUGUUUUGGACGAAAAUUUAACACAAAACAGAAACUUAAACUAACACAGAUUGUAAAAACGAUUUUGGUGAAAUAGAUGGUUAAAAGGCUAGUUAGGAGGUUCUUCUCCACACAUGUCACACUUGCACACAAAACGAUUUUCAGUUGUUCUUCCAAUAAAUUAUGAAUACUCAACGCCCCAAAUUAACCGUGAAUUGCACUAAUUAACCCUCAGUUUUUCCACAAGUUAUUAGGUUGGAUGAUUGCAUACGACAACCCAAAACAUUCCCUACAAGUUCCCUACAUGAAUUGCAUAAUAGAGAUACAAGCACGAAUCAUUACGUUCUAUGAAAAACAUAAGCAUUGACAAAGCAUUUGUUACUAUGAAUUGCAUGAAACUUAUGCUAAGAAUUCAUUCAAUGCGAUCGUUUUCAAGCGACCUUCACUACUUGUGAUUAUAAGAUUGUAACUAUUAGGUGAAACUCCCUCAUAAUCUAGCAUCAUAUUCAUGCAUGAAAACUAAGCGUGCACUCUCAAUCAACAUACACAAAUAAGUCAUCAAUCAAAUAGAUGAAUGAAUUGAAUCCACAACUUAUGAAAUAACAACUGAAUGUAAUCAAAUCAUAUUGCAAGCAUAUACAUGGUUUCGAAUUACCCCCCAACUAAGGGGGUUUAGUUCGUCAUACUCACAACACAAAGUUUAUUGAAUUGAAACAUCGAAGACAUAAGAAAGAUUACACCUAAAACGCCCAAGAAUUCCACUUUGAAUUUCUGACUUCAAGCUCCUCUUUCUUCUUCUCCUUGCUGCGGCAGAGAGGGUUUAGGGUGUUUUUGGAUGUGAUUUUGGUUUUAGAAUGGAGUUAGGAUAGUAUGGUGGUGCGGCAAAGGGGUAAGGAUGGUGUAUGGAAGUGUAGAAUGGUGUAUGGAGGUGGAUGGUAGCUUCGGCAAGGAUGGGAAGUGGCUGGAAUGGAUGAAGGCUGCAGCAAGGUGUGGGAAUAGGGUUUAGACGAUUUUCUGAUUUGUAGAAUGGGAGAUGAUGUGCGGCAAGGUGUGUAGAACACAUAUAUAUAGGCACCUAAAAACCCUAAAGAAAUCAGAUUGGGCUAGGGUUAGGUGCGGCUACUUAAGUGGACUAGGGUUAAGGUUUGUAAAAUAGGGCUUCUAGGAUGGAAAGGUGCGGCAUGGGCUUAGGGUACAUAAUCAGAUUUUUGCAUGUGAACAAGGCCUAGGUGCGGCUGAUUAAGUGGCUAGGGUUAGGGUUUAGGUGCGGCAUAGGUCCAAGAAGUAAGGAUGGGUCAUCCAAAAGCCCAAAGCCGAGAAUAGAAACUCACGAAAAUGGAAACCUCCAAGAAUAGAAACUUCCAACUUUAGAAACUUUGGUUGCCAAUUCCGAUUUAGGAAAGAUCAACCCAAAAUGGAAACUUUUAGGCUUAGCUUUCCUACUUCAAGUAGGAAACCUCAAAUCUUCAACUCUUCAAUUCCAUCCCAACCUUGUGUUCCAAGCAUGUCCUUUUCAAACCAAGCUCAUAUUUUGCUCCAAAAGCUCCAACUUGCAUCAUUUCAUGUAAUAUGUCCUUUAAACCUGAAAACACAUGAAAGUAGCUUAAAAGACUACUUUAACGAAGAAAACAUAACAAAGAUGCAUCAGAACUAGCUAACUAAGGCGCAUAAAUAUGCUCCUAUCAAAUUCCCCCACACUUAGCUUUUGCUAGUCCUCGAGCAAAACAAACAAAAGAAAGGAAACAAAACGAAACCAACUUAACCAAAACAAAACCUAAACCUUCCAACGUUUGCCUCAGGGAUUUCCAAUGCACAUGACAUGUUAAAGAUUGUUGUCCCCACAGAUUUGAGUCAUCUUUACACAAGCAUACUUAAUUAAAGCCACCACUUACUAAUUCACAAGUAAUCAAUCAAAACAAUGCUUUGAAUGUAGUAACAUGUCUUAGAGAAUUCCCUCAAUUCCUUACAAGAUAUACACUCUAUUUUCACUCAGAUUUUCUAACUCCACACCCUACACUAGUCAUAUGUGAGAAGAUUGAUGUAGAUAUGAAAACGAAUGCUCACAUAUAUGUAUCACAAAGAACGCAAUUUCUAGAGUUAAGAAGCAUGUUUAGAUAUGAUCUCAUGAAUGGAAUGCUACUACUUAGAUGCGAGAACCAGUGACACCAUAUGCUCAUACCAAAUUCAAACUCCACAAAUUGAAACACAUAACACUCAAGAUAGAAGUUAAGGGUUGUAACGGGGCUUGGGGUAUUGGUUAACAAAGAAAGGAUAGGGAAAACAAACGUUCUUCAAGCAUUAGUAAGCAAAGUAGUGAAAUUGAGGCUUAGAAUUCACUUAGAUUGCAGAAAUUAACUUUAAAACACAAGGGAAAGAUUUAGAUAACUCUUUAGGGCCGAAUUCAUUGCUUUGGACCCUUACUUCAACAAACAAUACUUUGAAACUCUUUUUCACAUCUUUUCAACUCUUUUUUCAUACUUUUCACACUUUUUUCUUCAUUUUUUCUUUUUCCACGAAUUUUUUCUUUUCUUUUCUUUCCACACGUGCCUAUGGCACACAAAAUCACCAAAAGAAAUACUUCCCCCCACACUUGUUUUCUGCCAACAUAAAUCAAAAGGAAUUCAAUUCGAAUCAUGCAUUACUAGGCUUUAAGAACAAGGGUAUGGAUGGUCCUAAACUAGGCUAGGUGAGGUUAAUGUGGGUUAACAAAGAAAAGGCUAAACAAGGCUCAAUGGGGUUAAAACCUACAAAACAUAAUGACAUAGGGGAUUCAUGGCUUUUUGGCUAAGGUGGUGGUCACUACACAACUUCAUCUUGAAUAUGUGUUAUGCAAAUCAAUAACAUGCUUUCAAUGAAAUGGGCAUGAGUUUUAGCAUUUGGAACUUAAUGAUGAAACGCCUUCUAAAUAGUAACCAAGCAAGGAAUAAUGAGAUCAUGCAACGACUUAGAAAACAAAGAAUGCACAGAUUUUAACUCUCCAAAUAAACGUUUAGGCUCAAGUCUCACAAGGUUGUAGCGUUAGUUUGAGUUCCUUCCUUCAAGCAUGUUACAAAAACUGAUUUUUUCUUUUAUGAUUGCAUGUGAAUUCAUAAGUUAUAUCCACAACUAAGCAUAUCAAAGAGUAAAUCAAACUUUCAUCCAUGUUAAUCACUCUCUUUAACAGUCAUGCAAUUAAAAACCAAAUCCUCAUCAUUGUGUUGGAAGGUACCCUAAGACACAAACAAACACACAAAAACAACUCUUUUUGGGUUUUUAAAACAAAUUUUUCAAAUUUUUAUGUGAUUUUCGGAUUUUUGCAUCAAAACACACUAAAACACAUCAAAACUGCUCAAAAACACUUAAAAACAUCAAGGAACAAGUAUCCAAGUUAAGGGUGAUAAAAUCCCACGAAUUUGCAUCUAAAACACUUAGUUACCCCCCCCACACUUCAUUCAAACAUUGUCCUCAAUGUUUCAAGCAUAAAUACACACUAAACAAAAAGAAACACACAAACAGCAACUAAAACAACUAAAUAGGCAGAUUCGAAAUAAAUAACAAAGUGAAGAGUUUAGGAACACAAAUCUGGAAUUGGAGUAAGUCCUUGGUCUUCCUUUGUUGAAUUGCAUGGGUUGCCUCCCAAGUAGCGCUUUCUUUAACGUCGUACAGCCAGACGAAAAACACAAUCAUGCCCCAUUGGAGCCCACGGCAAGGAGUGGGAUCUCCACCACCACCUGCCCCACGGCACUCUCAUACAUUGCAUCUUUGAACGGUAAUGGAUAGUGAUGUUUGUUGAUGGGUGCGUUGUGUUGCCUAAGGUUCAUGUACAUGCGCCCACCAUCAGGGAUUUGCUUGGGUACCUGCACCAUAGAAGGGAACCACCUAUCAACAUUAAUGGGAAUUGGAUUUGGAUUAGGUGGCUUACCUAAGUGAUGUGAUGAAGUGGCAGCAAGGUAAACGUUCUUCCCCAUGGUGCUUUCGGCCACUGUGAGCACUUUGAGGGCAGUGGCCGUAUGGGCCUUGUACUCCACUCCAAUUCCCUCGUCUUGCAUGGUUCUUGAUGCAUCCUUUGUGCUUGGUGCUGAACGGUCCGGGCCUAUCUUUUCAAGUUUAUCAAUGGCACAACAAGAAUGAACAACAUUAGGAGUCUCAAUGGAUUCAGAAAUUUUAAAACUAAUCAUGUCACCACCAAAUGCCAUAGUUACUAAUCCUUUCGCCACAUCAAUCUUCGUUUGAGCCGUUUUCAUAAAUGGCCUUCCAAGGAGGAUGGGCAACGAAGGGGCAUGGUCCGAUUCAUCCAUUUCGAGGGACAUAGAAAUCCGCUGGGAAGACUAAACGAUCAACCUGCACUAAGACGUCUUCCAAAACUCCCUUUGGAUAAGCGUUAGAUCUAUCGGCCAAUUGUAUGAUUACACCAUCAUGUUUAAGUGCUCCUAGAUUCAUAGAUGCAUAAACAGAAUAUGGCAUAACAUUAAUAGAUGCUCCUAAAUCUAGCAUGGCAAAUUUGAAACGGGUAUUACCAAUGACACACGGAAUUGUAAAACUCCCCGGAUCUUUGCAUUUGGGGGGUAGUUUGCGUUGCAAGAUGGCGGAGACAUUCUCGCUUACAUGUACCACUUCUUUAUCCCGGACACGUUUCUUGGUUGUACAAAGCUUCUUUAAACACUUCGCAUACUUCGGGAUUUGCUUUAUGGCAUCAAGGAGGGGAAUGUUGACAUGCACCUUUCUAAAUGUCUCUAGAACAUCUAUUUCCUCCUCGUCGUUCUUUGAUUGCAAAAAUCUGCUAGGAAAGGGGACAUUCAAAGGAAAAACAUUAGUAGGAACCGAAUUUGACACAUUCUUACCUUUAUUGGCCGAUUUGGACAAUUUGGGGACAUUAGAAGCUUGUGGCAAAGAUGGAACCUCCUUUGCCGUGGGCAUGCUUGAUUCCUCCUCUUCAAUUUGCACAUUUACAUCACUUUGGGGACCUGUUUGUGUAGAACCUGCCCUAAUCUCUUUUCCACUCCUUAGCAUGAUUGCAUUUGCGCUUUCGAAACCUCCCUUCGGAUUUGGAAUGGUGGAACUAGGGAGUUGUCCGGGAUCUCGAAACUUACCUACAAACUCAGCAAUCUGCCCAAUUUGUUUCUCAAGUUGAUCCACCCUUUUGUCUUGGUUUUGCAUAGCUCUAGCUUGAUCUUCCUGCCCAUUAGACAACUUAGUUAGUAUCUUAAGAAGUGCAUCAUUGUCAAGAGACGUACCUGAGGCACUUGGGCCGGAUUGGGCUUGAUUUUGGGGUGGGCCGUAGGUUUUGGGAAAGAACCCCAGGGGUUGUUGCCUAAAGCCUCCUUGAUUUUGAGGUUGUUGGGGAUCCCUCCACUUGAAAUUUGGGUGGUCUCGCCACCCCGAAUUAUACGUGUUGGAGUAUGGAUCGUGUCUUGACUGAUUUUGGCUUUGAAACCCAAUGGCAUUCGCACUCUCCCAUCCGCCAUUCUCGAUGAGUUGAGGACAUUUUUCGGAGACAUGUCCUUGGAUAGAACAUACGCCACAUACCACAGGUCCUUGCAUCUUCAUUCCCUCGGCCAUCUGUGAAACAAUAGAAGUAAGAUUAGCCAAUUGUGAAUGAAGAUCGGAAGUCGCACUUACCUCAUGUACUUUGGUGCCGUGAGGGUCCUCUUUGGCCUACACCCUCGUACUGUUGAGCGUUCAACGCUCUAUUAGCAAUCAAGACCUUGGCAGCCAUGGGUGUUUUGUCCACCAAUGCUCCCCCCGCCGAAGCAUCAAGCAUUUGACGUUCUAGAGGUAGGAGGCCCUCGUAGAAAUAUUGCAAGAGCAAUUCCUCCUUCAUCUGAUGCUGUGGACAAGAAGCAACAAGUGAUUUAAAUCGUUCAUAAUAUGUAGGAAAAGACUCACCUUCUUCUUGCUGAAUUCCGCUUAUCUUUUUGCGUAGGAGGAUGAUGCGAGAAGUUGGAAAGAACUUCUCCAAGAACGCUCUCUUCAUACUCUCCCAAGAAGUGACAGUGCCGGGAGCUAACUCGUAUAACCAAUCCUUGGCUUUAUCCAUCAAAGAGAAUGGAAAAGCCUUCAUCUUCAAGAUACAUCCGUCAACAUUGACGGGAGUCAUACUAGAGCAAACCACUUCAAAUUCUUUCAAAUGUUUGUUAGGAUCUUCCAUGGACAAGCCAUGGUAUUUAGGAAUAUGAUGAAGCAAACUUGACUUUAAUUCAAACUCGUCCGUCUUACCUUGGGCAGCCACGGGGUAUUGGAUGCACAAGGGUGCGGCAUUAUCCAAACCCGAGGCGGAAAGCUCCUUGAGUGUACGAUUGUCCAUGGCCAUGCCUUGGACUUCUUCAAAUAUCCCUGCCGUGGCUUCCUCCUCCACUUCUUGUACGUUUUCUUCAAGGUCAGAUUCGGAAUUGGGUGAAUGGUAUUCUUGCUGGUUUCUAGCUCUUCUUAACUUCCUCUCAAAAUCGUCGUCAAAAUCCAAGAUGUUUGCACGAAUCGGUUGAGAGCUUCUAGUCAUACAUUAGUACCUAAGAAACAAGAAACAAAAUUAGGUCAGAAACUUAAACAAAGUCAGAAACAAAGUGAAAUAAAAGAAACAAAAACAAUCCAAGGGAUUUGCAAAAUUGCUAAUCCCCGGCAACGGCGCCAAAAAUUUGAUGCGAAAUAGAUAAGCACACAAAUUAAACCCUCUUUUGUCAAAUUGUAGUAGAGAUGUAAGUAGGGAUCGUUCUAGACCGGGGAUUAGGAGGGAUUGCUAAACACUUGGAAACUGACUUAAAAACUCAAAAACAAAGUUUAGAACACUAAACUAGACUCAAAGAAUGCAAAAGUAAAGGUUAAAACACUUAAACAAACCUAAAACUCAAAACAGCAACUAGAAGGCUCAAAACUGCCUAAAAACCACUUUCUGGGCAGUUUUGAGCACCUACACUAAUUUGGACGAAAAUUGAUGAAAACUUGAAUCAAAAUACUUAGAAACACAAAUCAAAACACUUUCUAACUAAUCUAAGACUUCAAAUUAAAGGGGGAUUUGUUUUGGACGAAAAUUUAACACAAAACAGAAACUUUAACUAACACAGAUUGUAAAAACGAUUUUGGUGAAAUAGAUGGUUAAAAGGCUAGUUAGGAGGUUCUUCUCCACACAUGUCACACUUGCACACAAAACGAUUUUCAGUUGUUCUUC
This 7265-nucleotide long non-coding RNA is filed under the name Malus domestica (apple). RNAcentral's name for it is "long non-coding RNA (MDOM_LNC021286)". Lineage: Eukaryota; Viridiplantae; Streptophyta; Magnoliopsida; Rosales; Rosaceae. The record is from RNAcentral.